RNAcentral lists this ribosomal RNA (479 nucleotides) under uncultured bacterium. RNAcentral's name for it is "bacterial SSU rRNA". It matches the Rfam family "Bacterial small subunit ribosomal RNA", at positions 32 to 524 of the family's 1533-position model. The record is from RNAcentral.
AAUCAACGCUGGCGGCGUGCCUAACACAUGCAAGUCGAACGCGAAAGCCCGCAAGGGUGAGUAGAGUGGCGCACGGGUGAGUAACACGUGGACAACCUGCCUUCGAGUGGGGAAUAACCUUCCGAAAGGAGGGCUAAUACCGCAUAACACCUCGGGACACAAGUUCUGGGGUUGAAAAGAGCAAUUUGCUCGAAGAGGGGUCCGCGCCUGAUUAGCUAGUUGGUGAGGUAACGGCUCACCAAGGCUUCGAUCAGUAGCCGUCCUGAGAGGGAGCACGGCCACACUGGAACUGAGACACGGUCCAGACUCCUACGGGAGGCAGCAGUGGGGAAUUUUGGCAAUGGGCGAAAGCCUGACCAAGCAACGCCGCGUGGGUGAUGAAGUAUCUUGGUACGUAAAACCCUUUCGGCAGGGACGAACCUAAUGACGGUACCUGCGGAAGAAGCCCCGGCUAACUCCGUGCCAGCCGCCGCCGUAAG